RNAcentral lists this ribosomal RNA (497 nucleotides) under uncultured bacterium. Its description in RNAcentral is "partial 16S ribosomal RNA". It matches the Rfam family "Bacterial small subunit ribosomal RNA", at positions 28 to 507 of the family's 1533-position model. The record is from RNAcentral.
GAUGAACGCUGGCGGCGUGCCUAAUACAUGCAAGUCGAGCGAACGGACGAGAAGCUUUCUUCUCUGAUGUUAGCGGCGGACGGGUGAGUAACACGUGGAUAACCUACCUAUAAGACUGGGAUAACUUAGGGAAACCGGAUCUAAUACCUGAUAAUAUUUUGAACCUCAUGGUUCAAAAGUGAAAGACGGUCUUGCUGUCACUUAUAGAUGGAUCCGCGCUGCAUUAGCUAUUUGGUAAGGUAACGGCUUACCAAGGCAACGAUGCAUAGCCGACCUGAGAGGGUGGUCGGCCACACUAGAACUGAGACACGGUCCAGACCCCUACGGGAGGGAGCAGUAGGGAAUCUUACGCAAUGGGCGGAAGGCUGACGGAGCACCGCCGAGUGAGUGGUGAAGGUCUUCGGAUCGUAAAACUAUGUUAUUAGGGAAGAACAUAUGUGUAAGUAACUGUGCACAUCUUGACGGUACCUAAUCAAAAAGCCACGGCUAACUACGUG